This 494-nucleotide ribosomal RNA is filed under the name uncultured bacterium. RNAcentral describes it as "partial 16S ribosomal RNA". It matches the Rfam family "Bacterial small subunit ribosomal RNA", at positions 28 to 507 of the family's 1533-position model. The record is from RNAcentral.
GACGAACGCUGGCGACGCGCUUAACACAUGCAAGUCGAACGGAAAGGCCUGCUUUCCCUUGUGGAUUGCGGGUACUCGAGUGGCGAACGGGUGAGUAACACGUGAGUGAUCUGCCCCCAACUUGGGUAUAAGCCUGGGAAACUGGGUCUAAUUCCCGAUAGGACUGCAGGGUGGUGCCUGUGGUGGAAAACGAUUUUCUAGUGGUUGGGGAUGAGCUCGCGGCCUAUCAGCUUGUUGGUGGGGUAAUGGCCUACCAAGGCGGCGACGGGUAGCCGGCCUGAGAGGGUGGACGGCCACAUUGGGACUGAGAUACGGCCCAGACUCCUACGGGAGGCAGCAGUGGGGAAUAGUGCACAAUGGGCGGAAGCCUGAUGCAGCGACGCCGCGUGGGGGAUGACGGCCUUCGGGUGGUAAACUCCUUUCGACCGCGAGGAAGCCACCUGGUUGGAAGGGUGGUGACGGUAGUGGUAGAAGAAGCACCGGCUAACUACGUG